AGCAAUCUGCCUUUCAGAGGGGGAUACCGAUUGGAAACGAUCGUUAAUACCGCAUAAUAUAAUUGAACCGCAUGAUUUGAUUAUCAAAGAUUUAUCGCUGAAAGAUGAGCUCGCGUCUGAUUAGCUAGUUGGUAAGGUAACGGCUUACCAAGGCGACGAUCAGUAGCCGGACUGAGAGGUUGAUCGGCCACAUUGGGACUGAGACACGGCCCAGACUCCUACGGGAGGCAGCAGUGGGGAAUAUUGCACAAUGGAGGAAACUCUGAUGCAGCGAUGCCGCGUGAGGGAAGAAGGUUUUAGGAUUGUAAACCUCUGUCUUCAGGGACG
RNAcentral lists this ribosomal RNA (327 nucleotides) under uncultured bacterium. Its description in RNAcentral is "bacterial SSU rRNA". It matches the Rfam family "Bacterial small subunit ribosomal RNA", at positions 120 to 447 of the family's 1533-position model. The record is from RNAcentral.